UCCCUCUAACGCAAUGGGUAGCGCGUUGGACUUCUAAUCCAAGCCUCGUGGGUUCGAAUCCCACCUAAUUUCUGAGAAU
Non-coding RNA from Trichonephila clavipes, 79 nucleotides. The record is from the annotation of a GenBank genome assembly. Lineage: Eukaryota; Metazoa; Arthropoda; Arachnida; Araneae; Nephilidae.